Molecule: ribosomal RNA, 420 nt
Filed under: uncultured Nitrososphaerota archaeon
Lineage: Archaea; Thermoproteati; Nitrososphaerota
Description: bacterial SSU rRNA
Rfam family: Archaeal small subunit ribosomal RNA
Source: RNAcentral
CAGCCGCCGCGGUAAAACCAGCACCUCAAGUGGUCAGGAUGAUUAUUGGGCCUAAAGCAUCCGUAGCCGGCUCUGUAAGUUUUCGGUUAAAUCUGUACGCUUAACGUACAGGCUGCCGGGAAUACUGCAAAGCUAGGGAGUGGGAGAGGUAGACGGUACUCGGUAGGAAGGGGUAAAAUCCUUUGAUCUAUUGAUGACCACCUGUGGCGAAGGCGGUCUACCAGAACACGUCCGACGGUGAGGGAUGAAAGCUGGGGGAGCAAACCGGAUUAGAUACCCGGGUAGUCCCAGCUGUAAACUAUGCAAACUCAGUGAUGCAUUGGCUUGUGGCCAAUGCAGUGCUGCAGGGAAGCCGUUAAGUUUGCCGCCUGGGAAGUACGUACGCAAGUAUGAAACUUAAAGGAAUUGGCGGGGGAGCAC